ACUGGAAUGUUCUUUUCUUUAAAAGUAAUGCUUCAAGAUGAGUCGGCGGCGGAUUAGGUAGUUGGUGAGGUAAAGGCUCACCAAGCCGAAGAUCCGUAAGGGCCUUGAGAGAGGUUGCCCUGAGAGGGACACUGAGAUACUGGUCCCAGCCCUAAGGGGUGCAGCAGUCGGGAAGACUUUACAAUGCGCGCAAGCGUGAUAAGGGGAUUCUGAGUGCUCAGGUACAACUUGAGCUUUUGCCAAGAGUAAAAAUCUUGGAGAAUAAGUGGUGGGCAAGACUGGUGCCAGCCGCCGCGGUAACCCCAGCGCCACAAGUGGGAACCACGUUUAUUGGGUCUAAAGCAUCCGUAGCCGGUUUGGCAAAUGCCCUGUGAAAUCGUUUCGCUUAACGAAACGGCGUGCAGGGUAGACUACCAAACUAGGGACCAGGGAAAGGAGGCGGUAUUCCUGAGGGAGCGGUAAAAUGUGAUAAUCUCAGGAGGACCACCAAUGGCGAAGGCAGCCUCCUAAAAUGGAUCCGACGGUGAGGGAUGAAAGCUAGGGGAGCGAUCCGGAUUAGAUACCCGAGUAGUCCUAGCCGUAAACGCUGCAUGCCAGAUGUUACACAAUCUCCGUGAUUGUGUAGUGUCGUAACGAAGGUGUUAAGCAUGCCACCUGGGAAUUACGGUCGCAAGGCUGAAACUUAAAGGAAUUGGCGGGGGAGCACUACAAGGGGUGCGGCGUGCGGUUUAAUCGAAUUCAACGCCGAGAACCUCACCAGAGGCGACGGCAGAAUGAAGCUCAGUCUAAAGGGCUUAGCUGACGAGCCGAGAGGUGGUGCAUGGCCGGCGUCAGCUCGUGCUGUGAAGUGUCCUGUCAAGUCAGGCAACGAGCGAGACCUGUAUCCACUGUUGCUAACGCGCCCGUAAGGGUGAGCGAGCACACUGUGGAGACUGCCUUCGAAAGAAGGAGGAAGGUUCAGGCUACGCUAGGUCUGUACGCCCCGAAUCUUCUGGGCUACACGCGCGCAACAAUGGUCGUGACAAUGGGAUGCAACACCGAAAGGUGAAGCCAAGCCUCGAAACACGACCCUAGUAUGAAUCGAGGGCUGCAACUCGCCCUCGUGACAUCGGAAUCCCUAGUAAUCAGAGGUUAGCAUCCUCCGGUGAAUAUGUCCCUGCUCCUUGCACACACCGCCCAUCAAACCAACCGAGCAGGCUUUAAGUGAGUCACAACUAUUUGGUUGUGCCGAACUUAAGGUCAGUAAGGUGGGUUAAGUUGUCACAAGGUAUCCGUAGGGGAACCUGCGGAUGGAUCACCUCC
RNAcentral lists this ribosomal RNA (1302 nucleotides) under uncultured archaeon. RNAcentral describes it as "bacterial SSU rRNA". It matches the Rfam family "Archaeal small subunit ribosomal RNA", at positions 169 to 1477 of the family's 1478-position model. The record is from RNAcentral.